AGAGUUUGAUCCUGGCUCAGGACGAACGCUGGCGGCGUGCUUAACACAUGCAAGUCGAACGGUGAACCUGCUUCGGUGGGGGAUCAGUGGCGAACGGGUGAGUAACACGUGGGCAACCUGCCCCUGGCUCUGGGAUAACUCCAAGAAAUUGGGGCUAAUACCGGAUAUGACCGCUGACCGCAUGGUCUGGUGGUGGAAAGAUUUAUCGGCUGGGGAUGGGCCCGCGGCCUAUCAGCUUGUUGGUGGGGUAGUGGCCUACCAAGGCGACGACGGGUAGCCGGCCUGAGAGGGUGACCGGCCACACUGGGACUGAGACACGGCCCAGACUCCUACGGGAGGCAGCAGUGGGGAAUAUUGCGCAAUGGGCGAAAGCCUGACGCAGCGACGCCGCGUGGGGGAUGACGGCCUUCGGGUUGUAAACCUCUUUCAGCAGGGACGAAGCGGAAGUGACGGUACCUGCAGAAGAAGCACCGGCCAACUACGUGCCAGCAGCCGCGGUAAUACGUAGGGUGCAAGCGUUGUCCGGAAUUAUUGGGCGUAAAGAGCUCGUAGGCGGUUCGUCGCGUCGGCUGUGAAAUCCCGAGGCUCAACCUCGGGUCUGCAGUCGAUACGGGCGGACUUGAGUUCGGCAGGGGAGACUGGAAUUCCUGGUGUAGCGGUGAAAUGCGCAGAUAUCAGGAGGAACACCGGUGGCGAAGGCGGGUCUCUGGGCCGAUACUGACGCUGAGGAGCGAAAGCGUGGGGAGCGAACAGGAUUAGAUACCCUAGUAGUCC
This 774-nucleotide ribosomal RNA is filed under the name uncultured bacterium. RNAcentral's name for it is "bacterial SSU rRNA". It matches the Rfam family "Bacterial small subunit ribosomal RNA", at positions 8 to 796 of the family's 1533-position model. The record is from RNAcentral.